UCCCCUUCCAUGCUCCCAUCCUAUGUCCAGCAAAAGUUGAGCUCUUCCCUGAAGAAAGGGAAAACGGGUUUUCUUGGAGAAGUAACUGACAGUCAGCAAGCGCAUUUACUAAGCACGAUGUUGGCAUAUUUUCCAUGAUGCCUGUAGCAAGCUCCACAUCAGAGAUUUGAGAAAACACAUGCACUUUGUCACCUUGACACAGGAACACUAAAUUCAAGGAUCACUGAAUGGAUCACUGCAUGGGUGGAGAAGGAAGAAACUUUUAAAGAUGCAGAACAUGCUGAAGAGAAUGUCAUUAUACAGCUGAACCCAAACAGAAGAAAGGAGCAGGAAAUACAACGGACUGAGUGCCUGAGGUGUGAAGAAAAUGUCAUUGGAACUGAGAGGCCAGAGUGUGGGGUGGCUUAUCCAUGUGGAUGCUCCAGCCACAAAUAAUGAUGCCACAAGUUAGGUGGAGAAGAAUCUUGUAGUUUGUCCUCACUGAGGACUCAACUUCUCCAUAAGAUGGGAAGAUACGAGAUGUCAACACCAGCCUGGAUUUAUCUUAACUACCCAAUUUGGACUCGAUGGUCAAGGAAACCUGUAUUUUCAUCAUCUACUCUGUGUAACCCAUCUCCUUACUCUACCCCUUGCAACUGGUCCCUAACUCUGGAGAUAUCCAACCAUUGGCUUUCUUUGAUUCUGUUCCCAGAUGGUCAA
This is a long non-coding RNA of Pteropus alecto (black flying fox), 699 nucleotides long. RefSeq lists it as uncharacterized. The transcript is spliced from 4 exons. The record is from RefSeq and is a predicted model, not a curated record. NCBI's taxonomy places the organism in Eukaryota, Metazoa, Chordata, Mammalia, Chiroptera, Pteropodidae.